GACGAACGCUGGCGGCGUGCCUAACACAUGCAAGUCGAACGGAGACGAUAGCAAUAUUGUCUUAGUGGCGGACGGGUGAGUAACGCGUGAGUAACCUGCCUUUCGGAGGGGGACAACAGCUGGAAACGGCUGCUAAUACCGCAUAACGUAUAUUGAGGGCAUCCUCGAUAUACCAAAGAUUUAUCGCCGAAAGAUGGACUCGCGUCUGAUUAGCUAGUUGGUGAGGUAAUGGCUCACCAAGGCUGCGAUCAGUAGCCGGACUGAGAGGUUGAACGGCCACAUUGGGACUGAGAUACGGCCCAGACUCCUACGGGAGGCAG
This 320-nucleotide ribosomal RNA is filed under the name uncultured Bacillota bacterium. RNAcentral describes it as "bacterial SSU rRNA". It matches the Rfam family "Bacterial small subunit ribosomal RNA", at positions 28 to 351 of the family's 1533-position model. Lineage: Bacteria; Bacillati; Bacillota. The record is from RNAcentral.